This 253-nucleotide ribosomal RNA is filed under the name uncultured bacterium. RNAcentral describes it as "partial 16S ribosomal RNA". It matches the Rfam family "Bacterial small subunit ribosomal RNA", at positions 524 to 776 of the family's 1533-position model. The record is from RNAcentral.
UACGUAGGGGGCAAGCGUUAUCCGGAUUUACUGGGUGUAAAGGGAGCGUAGGCGGCCAUGUAAGUCAGAAGUGAAAGCCCGGGGCUCAACCCCGGGACUGCUUUUGAGACUGUGUGGCUGGAGUGUCGGAGGGGUAAGUGGAAUUCCUAGUGUAGCGGUGAAAUGCGUAGAUAUUAGGAGGAACACCAGUGGCGAAGGCGGCUUACUGGACGAUCACUGACGCUGAGGCUCGAAAGCGUGGAGAGCAAACAGG